GAUGAACGCUAGCGAUAGGCUUAACACAUGCAAGUCGAGGGGCAGCAUGGUCUUAGCUUGCUAAGACUGAUGGCGACCGGCGCACGGGUGCGUAACGCGUAUGCAACUUGCCUCACAGAGGGGGAUGACCCGUCGAAAGACGGACUAAUACCGCGUACACUUAGGAUAGGGCAUCCUAUCCCAAGGAAAUGAAAUUCGCUGUGAGAUAGGCAUGCGUCCCAUUAGCUAGUUGGUGAGGUAACGGCUCACCAAGGCGACGAUGGGUAGGGGAACUGAGAGGUUGAACCCCCACACUGGUACUGAGACACGGACCAGACUCCUACGGGAGGCAGCAGAAGGG
Molecule: ribosomal RNA, 340 nt
Filed under: uncultured Porphyromonadaceae bacterium
Lineage: Bacteria; Pseudomonadati; Bacteroidota; Bacteroidia; Bacteroidales; Porphyromonadaceae
Description: bacterial SSU rRNA
Rfam family: Bacterial small subunit ribosomal RNA
Source: RNAcentral